This 411-nucleotide ribosomal RNA is filed under the name Klebsiella pneumoniae. RNAcentral describes it as "partial 23S ribosomal RNA". It matches the Rfam family "Bacterial large subunit ribosomal RNA", at positions 2520 to 2925 of the family's 2925-position model. The record is from RNAcentral. Lineage: Bacteria; Pseudomonadati; Pseudomonadota; Gammaproteobacteria; Enterobacterales; Enterobacteriaceae.
GGCACCUCGAUGUCGGCUCAUCACAUCCUGGGGCUGAAGUAGGUCCCAAGGGUAUGGCUGUUCGCCAUUUAAAGUGGUACGCGAGCUGGGUUUAGAACGUCGUGAGACAGUUCGGUCCCUAUCUGCCGUGGGCGCUGGAGAAUUGAGGGGGGCUGCUCCUAGUACGAGAGGACCGGAGUGGACGCAUCACUGGUGUUCGGGUUGUCAUGCCAAUGGCACUGCCCGGUAGCUAAAUGCGGAAGAGAUAAGUGCUGAAAGCAUCUAAGCACGAAACUUGCCCCGAGAUGAGUUCUCCCUGAGACUUUAAGUCUCCUGAAGGAACGUUAAAGACGAUGACGUUGAUAGGCCGGGUGUGUAAGCGCAGCGAUGCGUUGAGCUAACCGGUACUAAUGAACCGUGAGGCUUAACCUU